GAUGAACGCUGGCGGCGUGCCUAACACAUGCAAGUCGAACGAUGAACCUCACAUGUGGGGGGAUUAGUGGCGAACGGGUGGGUAACACGUGAGUAACCUGCACUUGCCUCUGGGAUAAGCCUGGGAAACCGGGUCUAAUACUGGAAACGACCUUUUGGCGCAUGCCAUGUUGGCGGAAAGCUUUUGUGGUUUUGGGUGGACUCGCGGCCUAUCAGCGUGUUGGUGGGGUAAUGGCCUAGAAAGGCGACGACGGGUAGCCGGCCAGGGAGGAUGACCGGCCUCACAGACGCUGCGGCACGGUCCAGACGCCAGCAGUAGGCAACAGUGGGCAAUAGGGGAAAGUCUGAGCAAGCCUGAUGCAGCGAGGCCGGGUGGGGGAUGGAGGCUUUCGGGCUGUAAUCCGGUAACAGUAGGGAAGAAGCCGGCUUUUGGGUUGGUGACGGUACCUGCAGAAGAAGCGCCGGCUAACUACGUG
This 475-nucleotide ribosomal RNA is filed under the name uncultured bacterium. RNAcentral's name for it is "partial 16S ribosomal RNA". It matches the Rfam family "Bacterial small subunit ribosomal RNA", at positions 28 to 507 of the family's 1533-position model. The record is from RNAcentral.